This 757-nucleotide ribosomal RNA is filed under the name Cladosporium sp. Its description in RNAcentral is "partial large subunit ribosomal RNA". It matches the Rfam family "Eukaryotic large subunit ribosomal RNA", at positions 81 to 864 of the family's 3401-position model. The record is from RNAcentral. Lineage: Eukaryota; Fungi; Ascomycota; Dothideomycetes; Cladosporiales; Cladosporiaceae.
UAGUAACGGCGAGUGAAGCAGCAAUAGCUCAAAUUUGAAAUCUGGCGUCUUCGACGUCCGAGUUGUAAUUUGUAGAGGAUGCUUCUGAGUAACCACCGACCUAAGUUCCUUGGAACAGGACGUCAUAGAGGGUGAGAAUCCCGUAUGCGGUCGGAAAGGUGCUCUAUACGUAGCUCCUUCGACGAGUCGAGUUGUUUGGGAAUGCAGCUCUAAAUGGGAGGUAAAUUUCUUCUAAAGCUAAAUAUUGGCCAGAGACCGAUAGCGCACAAGUAGAGUGAUCGAAAGAUGAAAAGCACUUUGGAAAGAGAGUUAAAAAGCACGUGAAAUUGUUAAAAGGGAAGGGAUUGCAACCAGACUUGCUCGCGGUGUUCCGCCGGUCUUCUGACCGGUCUACUCGCCGCGUUGCAGGCCAGCAUCGUCUGGUGCCGCUGGAUAAGACUUGAGGAAUGUAGCUCCCUCGGGAGUGUUAUAGCCUCUUGUGAUGCAGCGAGCGCCGGGCGAGGUCCGCGCUUCGGCUAGGAUGCUGGCGUAAUGGUCGUAAUCCGCCCGUCUUGAAACACGGACCAAGGAGUCUAACAUCUAUGCGAGUGUUCGGGUGUCAAACCCCUACGCGUAAUGAAAGUGAACGGAGGUGAGAACCGCAAGGUGCAUCAUCGACCGAUCCUGAUGUCUUCGGAUGGAUUUGAGUAAGAGCAUAGCUGUUGGGACCCGAAAGAUGGUGAACUAUGCCUGAAUAGGGUGAAGCCAGAGGAAACUC